CUACCCUCAAGCACGGCUUGUGUGUUGGGCCCCCGUCCCCCCUCCCGGGGGACGGGCCCGAAAGGCAGCGGCGGCACCGCGUUCCGGUCCUCGAGCGUAUGGGGCUUUGUCACCCGCUCUGUAGGCCCGGCCGGCGCCUGCCGACCACCAUCAAUCUUUUGUUAGG
Molecule: unclassified non-coding RNA, 166 nt
Filed under: uncultured Penicillium
Lineage: Eukaryota; Fungi; Ascomycota; Eurotiomycetes; Eurotiales; Aspergillaceae
Description: sequence contains ITS2
Source: RNAcentral